RNAcentral lists this ribosomal RNA (253 nucleotides) under uncultured bacterium. RNAcentral's name for it is "partial 16S ribosomal RNA". It matches the Rfam family "Bacterial small subunit ribosomal RNA", at positions 524 to 776 of the family's 1533-position model. The record is from RNAcentral.
UACGUAGGGUGCGAGCGUUAAUCGGAAUUACUGGGCGUAAAGCGUGCGCAGGCGGUUUUGUAAGCCAGAUGUGAAAUCCCCGGGCUUAACCUGGGAAUGGCAUUUGGGACUGCAAGGCUUGAGUGCGGCAGAGGAGACUGGAAUUCCUGGUGUAGCGGUGAAAUGCGCAGAUAUCAGGAGGAACACCGAUGGCGAAGGCAGGUCUCUGGGCUGUAACUGACGCUGAGGAGCGAAAGCAUGGGGAGCGAACAGG